AUAAACUCGUACAAAGCGGUGGCCCUACUCCCCACCUUUUCUUCUUCUCCAGGUGGUUUAGGUUUUCUCACUGCAGUUGCUUGAAUGGCUCCUUCAUCUGGAGGUUUACUUCAUGUGGAUACAAAGUCUAAUGGCAUGAGUGGAGUAAGAAAAAGUAACACCUAAACAGUCGGCCAAACGCGCUCCUUUUCGUGUGAAAUUUUGAGGAAAAGUUCUACUCGACACGAGGAAUAUUCCUACGAUGACUGAUUUCGUUUUCAACAGUCGGAUUGUUAGAGCUGUGAUGCAGAUGUGACUCCUGAGAAUCCAUAGUUGGGGUAAGGGCGGCUUCAGGAUGCCCUAGGAGAUUUUGGAGUAGCGUAGUGAAUUGUAGUGUAUUUGUUAUAUUGGUUUAUUUUAGAACUUGUACUAGCAAACUUUGAAACUAUAUAUUUGUAAUGAGACUUUCUUCUGAUUAAUUUACUCAAUUGUGAACUUUUAUUUC
Molecule: long non-coding RNA, 484 nt
Organism: Vitis vinifera (wine grape)
Lineage: Eukaryota; Viridiplantae; Streptophyta; Magnoliopsida; Vitales; Vitaceae
Exons: 4
Source: RefSeq, a predicted model, not a curated record